This is a long non-coding RNA of Catharus ustulatus (Swainson's thrush), 1179 nucleotides long. RefSeq lists it as uncharacterized. The record is from RefSeq and is a predicted model, not a curated record. The transcript has 2 exons. Lineage: Eukaryota; Metazoa; Chordata; Aves; Passeriformes; Turdidae.
GCAGACUUAGCAGAGAGCAGAGGCAGGUCAGGGAGAAAAGAAACGCGAUGGGAGCCAGGAGAAAAAGGAAAAAAAAGGCGAGAAGGAGGAGGAGAAGCAAAUGUUUGAAGAGGCUGCAGGAAAAAAAAAUCCGCCCCCUCAAUCGUUAAGUGCUGCUGUAAAUUAUUCAUCAGGAGAGGCUCGGGUCUGUCCCUGCAGAGGCCGAGAAUGGGCACGGAGAGAAGAGGAAAACUUGGAACGGGGGGAGAAAGGAUUGGGAAAAUCCCAAAGCGGAGUCUGGGAAGGAGCCGUGAGCCGCGGGCAGCGCUGGAGGCGGGGUUUGAUCAGGACCAGCCGCGAGCAGAGAAGUGACAGUGCUCUGAUCAGCCGGGAAUGUCCCCCAGGGGUCCCCGAGGUGUCCCCAGGGUGUCCCCAAGGUGUCGUGUCCCCAUUAGCAGGGCGUCACUCCCCAUGCGGAGUGAAAAAAAUUCCUGCUCUAGGGGGGAAAAAAAGACAAACCAGCGAAAAAAGGGCUGGUGGAGGGGAGGGAAAUGGGAAAACAUCCAGGAAAAUAUUCCUGGGUUUGUGUUGGGGCAAUUGGGGUGGGAAAUAUCCGGGAAAAUAUUUCUGGGAUCAUACUGGCACCUUUGGGUUGGAAAAUAUCUAGGACAAGGAAAAAUAUCUAGGAAAAUACUCCUGGGUUUGUGAUGGAACAAUUGGGUUGGAAAAUAUCCAGGAGAAGGGAAAAUACCCGUGGAAAUUAUUCUUGGGAUCAUUUUGGCACAUUUGGGUUGGAAAAUAUCCAGGAAAAGGAGAAAAUAUCUAGGGAAAUAUUCCUGGGUUUGUGUUGGGGCAAUUGAGGUGGGAAAUAUCUGGGAAAAGGGAAAAUACCUGUGGAAAAUAUUCUUGGGAUCUUUUUGGCACAUUUGAGUUGGAAAAUAUCCAGAGAAAGGGAAAAAUUCCAGGAACACAUUCCUGGGUUUGUGUUGGCACAAUUGGGUUGGAAAAUAUCCAGGAGAAGGGAAAAUAUCAGCGCAAAAUAUUCUUGGGAUUGUAUUGGCACAUUUGUGUUGGAAAGUAUCCACAGAAAAUAUUCCUGGGAUUGUGUUGGCACAACAGGGGUGGGAAAUAUCCGGGAAAAGGGAAAAUAUCAAUGGGAAAUAUUUCUGGGAUCAUGUUGGCACAUUUGGGCUGGAAAAG